GCGGCAGCAGCGAGCCGGGGACCCCGGCGCCGCCCGCGUGCGGCCCCGUCUGAGGUCUGGCAGUCAGAGACAGCCGGGCGCCCACGGCCCGAGCGCCCACGGCAGCACCAUGCCCGCACUCCUGGAGCGCCCCAAGCUUUCCAACGCCAUGGCCAGGGCGCUGCACCGGCACAUUAUGAUGGAGCGGGAGCGCAAGCGGCAGGAGGAAGAAGAGGUGGAUAAGAUGAUGGAACAGAAGAUGAAGGAAGAACAGGAGAGAAGAAAGAAAAAGGAGAUGGAAGAGAGAAUGUCACUAGAGGAGACCAAGGAACAAAUUCUGAAGUUGGAGGAGAAGCUUUUGGCCCUACAGGAAGAGAAGCACCAGCUUUUCCUGCAGCUCAAGAAAGUUUUACAUGAGGAAGAAAAACGGAGGCGAAAGGAACAGAGUGACCUGACCACCCUGACAUCAGCUGCAUACCAGCAGAGCCUGACUGUUCACACAGGAACUCAUCUCCUCAGCAUGCAGGGGAGCCCUGGAGGACACAAUCGCCCAGGCACCCUCAUGGCAGCUGACAGAGCCAAACAAAUGUUUGGACCCCAAGUGCUUACGGUGAGAGUAGGAUUGGAUGCCUAGCCCCUAGUACUUCCAUCCAUGCAUCCUUGCCACCAGUAUUCAAGUCACAAACAUAUCAAGCACUUAAGUUUAGGGGGAAACGGGGCAUACAGAUACACACAAGUCACUGGGUUUCAGCUUUCAAGGAGUUUGUAGGCGAGUUCUCAUUCUCCUUCCUUAGACCCGGCACUACGUGGGCUCAGCAGCUGCUUUUGCAGGGACACCAGAGCAUGGACA
This 829-nucleotide small RNA is filed under the name Pan troglodytes (chimpanzee). RNAcentral describes it as "retained intron". The record is from RNAcentral. Lineage: Eukaryota; Metazoa; Chordata; Mammalia; Primates; Hominidae.